Molecule: long non-coding RNA, 1198 nt
Filed under: Amborella trichopoda
Lineage: Eukaryota; Viridiplantae; Streptophyta; Magnoliopsida; Amborellales; Amborellaceae
Description: long non-coding RNA (ATRI_LNC003663)
Source: RNAcentral
GAAAAGAAAAGAAUUGGAAAAGAAAGAAAAAAAAAUUGUUAUAUACUUCGGCUAGAUCACAAGAGUCAUUCUUUCACUUAGAUAUAUUGGAUUUCAUAUCUAAUGACUAGUCUCUUCUCGUCAUGAUGCUCUUUAGAAGACAGAGACAUGAGGGAGGUGCGUUUGUAGGGUGUUACUAGCUCUCCGUGCUGCUUUUGAGCUUCUGGUGCAUCUCCAUUUACCACAACACCAGCAACCUCUUUGCCGCUGCCUCCGGUUCAAUGGCGGGUCUCUGUGUUUUGGUCAUCGUCCGCUGCCUCUACUUCACCUACGACAUCUUCUUCCCCCCUGCCUCUUCAUAGCCUCUGUUACCUUCUUCUACACCACCCUCUGCCCGACCUCCGCUCCAAGAAGGAAGAGAUGGCUAAGAUUGGGUGCCCAUGCCUCCUCCUCUUCUUCUCCCCCAAUGUCGUGUCUUAGUGCUUCUUUAUGAGAGAGAGACUUGACAUUCAUGGUGAAGAGGAACGUAUGGUGUACGAUUAAUGUUCUUGGAUUCUCUCUCUCUAACAAUGCUUCUUCCUAUCUCUCUUAUCGUUCUUUCAAUUGGCGACGAGUAAACUUUUUCUAUCAUGAAUCUUGGGGUGCCCCUCUGAUCGCUGAAUAAUUCAUUCCACUGCCAUGGAUCUUGGAGUCUCUCUCUGGUUUCCUUUCUUGAAGGACAUAUCUCUACGAUUACAAGCAAAACCCCUCUUUAUAGUUCAAAGAACGCCUCUUUCCUUCUCCCUCCCUCCCUCUCAUCGCAGUUCAAUUUCAUAAAACCCUCAUCCGCCAUCAUUCUUGGAAUACCUCUUUGACAUCACAAAGUAAUUCAUUCAUCUACCAUGGAUCUUGGAGACUCCUCUCUCUCUCUCUUUCUUGGGGGACCCUUCCUGCCAGUUAUUGUCACGACCCCACACUCUGUUUCCCUCCGGCAAGGGUCAGGGGGCAGGGUCGUGACAGUUGUGCUCGAAAAUUCGAAUACCUUUCUCUCUCUCUCUCGUCAUAUCUGAAUGAUGAUGUGUACAUUGCUUUUUCUUCAUAUGCAGUGCAUGGUGAUGUUAUAAUUGAAGAAUAUUUCAAUUUUAAGCCAAUACUGUGAGUUUGAUCACAUCUCUACUUCGAUCGUCCUUGUUGUUUCAAGGAAUGACUUGAGAGAGAGUUUUGAGUUGUAAAGAGUGAG